Long non-coding RNA from Athalia rosae (coleseed sawfly), 933 nucleotides. RefSeq lists it as uncharacterized. Lineage: Eukaryota; Metazoa; Arthropoda; Insecta; Hymenoptera; Athaliidae. The record is from RefSeq and is a predicted model, not a curated record. The transcript has 2 exons.
UGACUAUUGCAAUGUCUACUGUAAGUUUGUAAAUUCCAACAUCCACUAGUACCUCUGUAACAUCUUCAUUGUUUUCCAAUGCCUGUAGCAAAAGCAUUGCUGAACCCAAUGCCAUAUUCAAAAGAAUCGUGGCCUCUCUAAUCCUGUGUGGAAAUUACAAAACACAAGUAAAUUUUUUGUUAAAAUAAAAUUUAUAGCAAAAAGAAUCUAUUUGUGUUCAGUAUUUACAGUGGAAAGUGGGCAUCUGGAGUAUUAGUGUACAAGCCAAAAAGCGGCAGCAGAUUUCUGAAAACAUCGUAGUGCAACUGUGCUGCUCCGCCUGAGUUGAAUUGAUUCACCAUUGCAACUUCCUCUAGCAGAUUGAUAGAAUUAUAUCACUCACUUGAUCAAGUUGAGCCGCUAAAUUUUUCCAAGCCUGAUUGAACAGCGGCAGUGCAAGGAUUUCCUGAAGUGUGUGAAGACGAGCAGCUAAUUCAUGGAACAUCGGGCAUCCGCUUGAAGUUACCGAUAAUGACACCACGUCUUUUUCAGACUGCAUCGCAAACCAUCUAACAAUAAGGGCAAACACGAGCGACGUAGAGUGAUAUCAUUAUUCUAAGUAGAGUACAAUCACGAAGUUUGCUAUAUAAGAUGGGUUUGCCCAUGAAUAACUGAAAAAUUAGCAAGUGUGAUAACUUUUGACAUUACCUGUCUGUUCUAUAAGGUCUGCUCUUGGCUUUAACAUCAAGUGUCACAGAAUCACUUAUUUCAUUUACUAAUUCACGUUCCAAUCUCUGCAGCAGUGCCAGAGCUUCACAGAAUACUGAACCUUCUUCGUCAGCAAUACUAUCUGAAAUAUCUGCCAAAGUUUCAUGUGCGAAUUUUCCUACAUCGCAUUGUUUUUUGAAGUAGUAAAGCUGUAAGAAAUGCUAAAAAAAAACAUUUUUUUCACGA